CCUACGGGCGGCUGCAGUCGAGAAUCUUCGGCAAUGGGCGCAAGCCUGACCGAGCGACGCCGCGUGGAGGACGAAGGCCUUCGGGUUGUAAACUCCUGUCGAGGGGGAAGAAGCCGCAAGGUUGACUGAUCCCUGGAGGAAGCACGGGCUAAGUUCGUGCCAGCAGCCGCGGUAAGACGAACCGUGCGAACGUUAUUCGGAAUCACUGGGCUUAAAGCGCGUGUAGGCGGAGAGGCACGUCGGCCGUUGAAAGCCCCCGGCUCAACCGGGGAACGGGCGCCGAAACGACCGCUCUGGAGGGGCGUAGGGGGAGCUGGAACUUCCGGUGGAGCGGUGAAAUGCGUUGAGAUCGGAAGGAACGCCCGUGGCGAAAGCGAGCUCCUGGACGCCAUCUGACGCUGAGACGCGAAAGCCAGGGGAGCGAACGGGAUUAGAUACCCCAGUAGUC
Molecule: ribosomal RNA, 448 nt
Filed under: uncultured bacterium
Lineage: Bacteria
Description: partial 16S ribosomal RNA
Rfam family: Bacterial small subunit ribosomal RNA
Source: RNAcentral